GAUGAACGCUGGCGGCGUGCCUAAUACAUGCCAGUCGAGCGAACGGACGAGAAGCUUGCUUCUCUGAUGUUAGCGGCGGACGGGUGAGUAACACGUGGAUAACCUACCUAUAAGACUGGGAUAACUUCGGGAAACCGGAGCUAAUACCGGAUAAUAUAUUGAACCGCAUGGUUCAAUAGUGAAAGACGGUUUUGCUGUCACUUAUAGAUGGAUCCGCGCCGCAUUAGCUAGUUGGUAAGGUAACGGCUUACCAAGGCAACGAUGCGUAGCCGACCUGAGAGGGUGAUCGGCCACACUGGAACUGAGACACGGUCCAGACUCCUACGGGAGGCAGCAGUAGGGAAUCUUCCGCAAUGGGCGAAAGCCUGACGGAGCAACGCCGCGUGAGUGAUGAGGGUCUUCGGAUCGUAAAACUCUGUUAUUAGGGAAGAACAAAUGUGUAAGUAACUAUGCACGUCUUGACGGUACCUAAUCAGAAAGCCACGGCUAACUACGUG
This 497-nucleotide ribosomal RNA is filed under the name uncultured bacterium. Its description in RNAcentral is "partial 16S ribosomal RNA". It matches the Rfam family "Bacterial small subunit ribosomal RNA", at positions 28 to 507 of the family's 1533-position model. The record is from RNAcentral.